AGCCCAGAGCCUGAAUCAGUGUGUGUGUUAGUGGAAGCGUCUGGAAAGGCGCGCGAUACAGGGUGACAGCCCCGUACACAAAAAUGCACAUACUGUGAGCUCGAUGAGUAGGGCGGGACACGUGGUAUCCUGUCUGAAUAUGGGGGGACCAUCCUCCAAGGCUAAAUACUCCUGACUGACCGAUAGUGAACCAGUACCGUGAGGGAAAGGCGAAAAGAACCCCGGCGAGGGGAGUGAAAAAGAACCUGAAACCGUGUACGUACAAGCAGUGGGAGCCUCUUAAUGGGGUGACUGCGUACCUUUUGUAUAAUGGGUCAGCGACUUAUAUUCUGUAGCAAGGUUAACCGAAUAGGGGAGCCGAAGGGAAACCGAGUCUUAACUGGGCGUUAAGUUGCAGGGUAUAGACCCGAAACCCGGUGAUCUAGCCAUGGGCAGGUUGAAGGUUGGGUAACACUAACUGGAGGACCGAACCGACUAAUGUUGAAAAAUUAGCGGAUGACUUGUGGCUGGGGGUGAAAGGCCAAUCAAACCGGGAGAUAGCUGGUUCUCCCCGAAAGCUAUUUAGGUAGCGCCUCGUGAAUUCAUCUCCGGGGGUAGAGCACUGUUUCGGCAAGGGGGUCAUCCCGACUUACCAACCCGAUGCAAACUGCGAAUACCGGAGAAUGUUAUCACGGGAGACACACGGCGGGUGCUAACGUCCGUCGUGAAGAGGGAAACAACCCAGACCGCCAGCUAAGGUCCCAAAGUCAUGGUUAAGUGGGAAACGAUGUGGGAAGGCCCAGACAGCCAGGAUGUUGGCUUAGAAGCAGCCAUCAUUUAAAGAAAGCGUAAUAGCUCACUGGUCGAGUCGGCCUGCGCGGAAGAUGUAACGGGGCUAAACCAUGCACCGAAGCUGCGGCAGCGACACUAUGUGUUGUUGGGUAGGGGAGCG
This 931-nucleotide ribosomal RNA is filed under the name Escherichia coli. Its description in RNAcentral is "partial 23S ribosomal RNA". It matches the Rfam family "Bacterial large subunit ribosomal RNA", at positions 296 to 1238 of the family's 2925-position model. RNAcentral also lists the same sequence under 1 other name. The record is from RNAcentral. Lineage: Bacteria; Pseudomonadati; Pseudomonadota; Gammaproteobacteria; Enterobacterales; Enterobacteriaceae.